This 200-nucleotide ribosomal RNA is filed under the name uncultured bacterium. RNAcentral's name for it is "partial 16S ribosomal RNA". It matches the Rfam family "Bacterial small subunit ribosomal RNA", at positions 1135 to 1335 of the family's 1533-position model. The record is from RNAcentral.
GCACUCUAGUGGGACUGCCGGUGACAAACCGGAGGAAGGUGGGGACGACGUCAAGUCCUCAUGGCCCUUAUGGGUAGGGCUACACACGUCAUACAAUGGCGCAUACAGAGGGUUGCCAACCCGCGAGGGGGAGCCAAUCCCAGAAAGUACGUGGUAGUCCGGAUUGCAGUCUGCAACUCGACUGCAUGAAGUCGAAUCGC